AGAUCCUGGAGUAGCCACCUGGCCUCUACCCUCUCUUACAGUCUGAAAAGUCUGGGGCUGGCGGGUUGAGGGCAUAAGUGUGAAGUAGAAAUCAAAGUCCAUGUUUUUCCAUAUCGACCCAGCGCUACUUACGGAAAAGACAAUCCCUUCCCUCCCACAGGAGAACUGUCAUCAAUCAGAAAUGCUCACUCUGGAUGCAUUGUGGACGAUGGAUUGGUGGCGGAGUGGAUCCAGGGGAAUGUGUAGAAGAAUAUUGGCAAACCAAGAGGAGAUGAUGGUGGCCUGGAUGAGGGUAGUGGUCGUGGAGGAAGAGGAUGGAGGUGAAAUCAACAGGGCUUGGUGAUGGAUUGGAAAUGAGUGGAGGAUGCUUUGAACUAUAGCCAACAGAAAGCCCUAUUCAAACUGGUUUAAAAAAAUAAAGACUUCACCAAAGGCUGAAGAAACAGACUUUGAGUUGAAGUUUCAGGAAUAACUCCCGGGACUAGGUCAUCAAGAAAACUGCUGUAAUCAGAAAGCCACCGGCUCCAGAAUGCAUCACAGCUACCACCAGGGAGCCGCCAUUAUCAGGAGGCUGCUACUAAUGUGCCACACCAUCACACCACGCCUGCCACAGUCCUUGGCAGCAGAAUAAAUGCGUGUUCAUGUCUUAUUCUUGAUGUCCACUAAGCUAGGAAAACCACAUCUUUACCAACUGUACGACAGAAAAACCAGAUGUCUUCACAACUGUGUUGUUAGCAGAAAUGGCAAAAACAACAGGAAGAUGGCCUUCACCUUCCUUCCAUUUUCUACAUCUUGUGUGACUGAAUCUGAUUGGCUGAGUCUUAAUUGUCAGAGUCCUGGCUGCCAGGGACCCUGGCAUAGCAUGCUAGAAGGAGGUGCUGACCCAAUGUAUCCAUCACAUCACAUCAAACCACACAA
Molecule: long non-coding RNA, 918 nt
Filed under: Homo sapiens (human)
Lineage: Eukaryota; Metazoa; Chordata; Mammalia; Primates; Hominidae
Description: non-protein coding lnc-SERINC2-2:1
Source: RNAcentral